RNAcentral lists this long non-coding RNA (240 nucleotides) under Vitis vinifera (wine grape). Its description in RNAcentral is "long non-coding RNA (VVIN_LNC001076)". Lineage: Eukaryota; Viridiplantae; Streptophyta; Magnoliopsida; Vitales; Vitaceae. The record is from RNAcentral.
CCCCCAAACGAAAAAUAAAUAAAUAAAUAAGCAUUAGGAACACCCUGUUAAGUCGUUUUUUGCUUCCUAUUAAGUCGUCCUCUUGUCAGUCUAUCGCCUUUGUCAAUCUCACUGCCUUUAAUUGCCAUCUCUCAGUCAAUCAAACCAUACAAAACUAAAGAGAGAGAGAGAGAAAGAGAGGUGACAGCCCAUGUACUAGAGAUGGUAUAGGCCUAAUAAGUAAACAAAGGCUUGAGCCCA